Molecule: ribosomal RNA, 522 nt
Filed under: uncultured Anaerostipes sp.
Lineage: Bacteria; Bacillati; Bacillota; Clostridia; Lachnospirales; Lachnospiraceae
Description: partial 16S ribosomal RNA
Source: RNAcentral
CACGUAGUUAGCCGGGGCUUCUUAGUCAGGUACCGUCAUUAUCUUCCCUGCUGAUAGAGCUUUACAUACCGAAAUACUUCUUCACUCACGCGGCGUCGCUGCAUCAGGGUUCCCCCCAUUGUGCAAUAUUCCCCACCUGCUGCCUCCCGUAGGAGUCUGGGCCGUGGCUCAGUCCCAAUGUGGCCGUUCACUCUCUCAAGCCGGCUACUGAUCGUCGCCUUGGUAAGCCGUUACCUUACCAACCAGCUAAUCAGACGCGGGUCCAUCCCAUAGCGAUAAAUCUUUACAAAACAGGACCAUGCGGUCCCGCUUUCCCAUGCGGUAUUAGCAGCCGUUUCCAGCUUGUUCGUCCCCCUCUAGUCGGGGCCUAACGGUUACCCCACGGUCCGUUACCUCCACCCGUCCCGCCACUCAGUCCAUCCCAUAUCGUCUUCCCUUCCCCCAGCCAAGUCUUGGUUCUGGUCCCGCGGGGUGGACUGUCUUCGUUCGACUUGCAGUUGUUCGUUAGGCACGGCCGCCGAG